GACGAACGCUGGCGGCGUGCCUAAUACAUGCAAGUAGAACGCUGAAGAGAGGAGCUUGCUCUUCUUGGAUGAGUUGCGAACGGGUGAGUAACGCGUAGGUAACCUGCCUGGUAGCGGGGGAUAACUAUUGGAAACGAUAGCUAAUACCGCAUAAAAUGGAUUAUCGCAUGAUAAUCCAUUGAAAGGUGCAAAUGCAUCACUACCAGAUGGACCUGCGUUGUAUUAGCUAGUUGGUGGGGUAACGGCUCACCAAGGCGACGAUACAUAGCCGGCCUGAGAGGGUGAUCGGCCACACUGGGACUGAGACACGGCCCAGACUCCUACGGGAGGCAGCAGUAGGGAAUCUUCGGAAAUGGACGGAAGUCUGACCGAGCAAAGCCGCGUGAGUGAAGAAGGGUUUCGGAUCGUAAAGCUCUGUUGUAAGAGAAGAAAGAGUGUGAGAGUGGAAAGUUCACACUGUGACGGUAUCUUACCAGAAAGGGACGGCUAACUACGUG
Molecule: ribosomal RNA, 497 nt
Filed under: uncultured bacterium
Lineage: Bacteria
Description: partial 16S ribosomal RNA
Rfam family: Bacterial small subunit ribosomal RNA
Source: RNAcentral